RNAcentral lists this ribosomal RNA (519 nucleotides) under Wolbachia sp. RNAcentral describes it as "bacterial SSU rRNA". It matches the Rfam family "Bacterial small subunit ribosomal RNA", at positions 261 to 797 of the family's 1533-position model. The record is from RNAcentral. Lineage: Bacteria; Pseudomonadati; Pseudomonadota; Alphaproteobacteria; Rickettsiales; Anaplasmataceae.
UAGCCUACCAAGGUAAUGAUCUAUAGCUGAUCUGAGAGGAUGAUCAGCCACACUGGAACUGAGAUACGGUCCAGACUCCUACGGGAGGCAGCAGUGGGGAAUAUUGGACAAUGGGCGAAAGCCUGAUCCAGCCAUGCCGCAUGAGUGAAGAAGGCCUUUGGGUUGUAAAGCUCUUUUAGUGAGGAAGAUAAUGACGGUACUCACAGAAGAAGUCCUGGCUAACUCCGUGCCAGCAGCCGCGGUAAUACGGAGAGGGCUAGCGUUAUUCGGAAUUAUUGGGCGUAAAGGGCGCGUAGGCUGGUUAAUAAGUUAAAAGUGAAAUCCCGAGGCUUAACCUUGGAAUUGCUUUUAAAACUAUUAAUCUAGAGAUUGAAAGAGGAUAGAGGAAUUCCUGAUGUAGAGGUAAAAUUCGUAGAUAUUAGGAGGAACACCAGUGGCGAAGGCGUCUAUCUGGUUCAAAUCUGACGCUGAAGCGCGAAGGCGUGGGGAGCAAACAGGAUUAGAUACCCUGGUAGUCCA